UUAAGCCGUGUAACGAAUGUGGCAAAUGAAUACUUUCCACAUCUGAUAGGGAUAAACGAGUGAGAUUCUUCAAUCUUACUAUGGAAGGUGGUACUUCUCUUAUAUUUGUUUGCUCUGCUUCAAGUGUUCUCAGUGAUAUCAUCUCCCCUAUAUCCUCAUGCACUUCUCUGAAUUUCGAACACCUAUUAAGAAGAAGAUUCUCAACAGAUUUUGACUUAUAGAAAUCCCUUGGAAGAGAACAAAGAUUGUCACACCUUCUAAGGUUCACCAAAGAAAGUCUUUUAAGAUGACCAAUGGAGGGGUGAAUCUCGAACAAACUCCAACAGCCUUCCAAUAUCAAAUCUUCAAGAUUUGGGGCUUGUGAAAAGUCCGGUGAUUUCUGUAAGGAAAGGGAAUAGCUGAGAUCAAGGGUUUUCAAGUUUUGUAGGGACUGUUGCAGAAAAUCAAAAGAAAAUUGAAAUUAAUAUCCGAAAUGAAGAUGCUAUAAAGAAAAGAGAAGAAAUCCAAAAAACAAAUAGAAACAAAACAUCAUCAGGUGUAAUUCAUUGUACCUUGGAACCCUCCCAAACUUGUACCAGAUUGCUCCACUGCAUCUCUAAAACAACUAGUUUAUCUUGAUUAAAAAAGUCAUCUGGUAUGGACUUUAAAGGGCAGUCUUCCCAACGCAACCGUAUUAACUCUUUGGGAAGAUGUUUGUAUUCUCCCUUGAGCUCUAUGCUGAUGCGGUCAAGGGAUAAACGAGUGAGAUUCUUCAAUCUUACUAUGGAAGGUGGUACUUCUCUUAUGUCUGUUUGCUUUGCUUCAAGUGUUCUCAGUGAUAUCAUCUCCCCUAUAUCCUCAUGCAGUUCUCUUAAUUGUUGACAGUAAUUAAGAAGAAGAGUCUCAACAGAUUUCAAUUUAUAGAAAUCCCUUGGAAGAGAAAUAAGCUUAUGACAGUGUCUAAGGUUCACCAAAGAAAGUCUUUUAAGAUGACCAAUGGAAGGUGGUACUUCUCUUAUGGCUGUUCGCUCAGCUUCAAGUGUUCUCAGUGAUAUCAUCUCCCCUAUAUCCUCAUGCAGUUCUAUGAAUUUUGAACACAUAUUAAGAAGAAGAGUCUCAACAGAUUUCAAUUUAUAGAAAUCCCUUGGAAGAGAAAUAAGCUUAUGACAGUCUCUAAGGUUCACCAAAGAAAGUCUUUUAAGAUGACCAAUGGAGGGGUGAAUCUCGGUCAAACUCUCACACCCUUCCAAUAUCAACUCUUCAAGAUUUGGGACUUGUGAAAAGUCCGGUGAUUUCUGUAAGGAACGGGAAUAGCUAAGAUCAAGGGUUUUCAAGUUAUGAAGCGACUGUUGCAGAAAAUCAAAAGAAAAUUGAAAUUAAUAUCCGAAAUGAAGAUGUUAUUAAAAAAAAAAAGAAGAAAUCCAAAAAACAAAUAGAAACACAACAUCAUCAGGUGUAAUUUAUUGUACCUUGGAACCCUCCCAAACUUGUACCAGUUCGCUCCACUGCAUCUCUAAAACAACUAGUUUAUCUUGAUUAAAAAAGUCAUCUGGUAUGGACUUUAAGGGGCAUAGGUCCCAACGCAACCGUAUUAACUCUUUGGGAAGAUGUUUGUAUUCUCCUUUGAGCUCUACGCUGAUGCGGUCAAGGGAUAAACGAGUGAGAUUCUUCAAUCUUACUAUGGAAGGUGGUACUUCUCUUAUGUCUGUUUGCUUUGCUUCUAGUGUUCUCAGUGAUAUCAUCUCCCCUAUAUCCUCAUGCAAUUCUCUGAAUUUUCGACAGUAAUUAAGAAGAAGAGUCUCAAUAGAUUUCAAUUUAUAGAAAUCCCUUGGAAGAGAAAUAAGCUUAUAAUGACAUCCUGAAAG
RNAcentral lists this long non-coding RNA (1844 nucleotides) under Malus domestica (apple). RNAcentral's name for it is "long non-coding RNA (MDOM_LNC001319)". Lineage: Eukaryota; Viridiplantae; Streptophyta; Magnoliopsida; Rosales; Rosaceae. The record is from RNAcentral.